This 1243-nucleotide long non-coding RNA is filed under the name Canis lupus familiaris (dog). RNAcentral describes it as "lncRNA (ENSCAFG00000055609.1)". The record is from RNAcentral. Lineage: Eukaryota; Metazoa; Chordata; Mammalia; Carnivora; Canidae.
UUUGGUAGUAUUCUGUGUUUCCACCUCAACUAUGGACCUCUCAAAAACAUUAAUGGUGAUUAGGGCAUACACUUUUAAUAAGUUGACUCUAUUAUCAGCCUUGAUUUUUAAAAUUUUUUUAAAUGUAUUUUUUAUUUUUUAAAAUAUUUUAUUUAUUCAUGAGAGACAUGGAGGGAGAGGCAGAGACAGAGGCAGAGGGAGAAGCAGGCUCCAUGCAAUGUGGGACUUGAAAAAUCAAGUGAGCCACCCAGGGGUCCUCAGCCUUUACUUGAAAAGAAAGGUAUGGAACUCCUGGGUGUCAACGGUUGAGCGUCUGCCUUUGGACCAGGGCAUGAUCCUGCAGUCCUGGGAUUGAGUCCCAUGUUGGGCUUCCUGCAUGGAGCCUGCUUCUCCCUCUGCCUUUGUCUAUCCCUCUCUCUCCAUGUCCCUCAUGAAUAAAUAAAUAAAAUCUUAAAAAUGAAAAGAAAGGUAUGAGGGCCUGAGCUAUGAGGCAAAUCUGGCCACCAUUCUCACAAUGCACUCAGCAUCAUUCUUUCCCCUUGAUGAGUGGGGGUCUGCAUUGACCAAUUCUGUUCUCCCUACAACCUGAAGGUUGAGUUCUCUUCCAGGAAUCUCCGCACUCUCUUUUGUAAGUGGACCUCCCAUUUACAAGUGACUUCAUCCACUCAAGUUUUCUAGACAUGCCCAGAGAAGCCUAAUUCCAGGGGUGGAUUCUAAAUUGUCUUAAAUGGAGGAGGGGAUCUUCACUCUUUUUCCUCCCUCCUUCCCUCUGCUGACAUCCCACUACAACACACACACGCACACUCCUGAAUCUGAUUCCAGUGAACUUCUACUACUAUGAUUCAAAAAUAUGAUGAGCCUAAGAAUAAGUGAAGAACUUUUUAAGCAUGUAGAUACCUGCAUUCUACCCCCAGAUGUUUGGAUUCCUUAGAUCUGUACUGUGUGACAAGAACACAUAUGUUUAGCAAACUCUCAGGGUAGUUCCAAUGAUAGUCUGAGAAUCACACUUUGAAAAUUACUAAUUUACAGUAUGAUCCUUCAUUCCUGCCCCCUUACAUCCUUUUCACCAUUAGAACUACUCCCCAUUUCUGAAACUUUCCUGAUUAUGCCAACCCCGUAUCUUUGCUCCUAUUCUGCUUUAGCAGCAAUGAUUUUCUUUCUAACGCCAUCUCUCCAAACCCUACCAGUCCAUAAGAAUGCAUGCCUCAUGAGGGCAGGAACUUUUUUUUUUAAGAUUUUAUUU